This 500-nucleotide ribosomal RNA is filed under the name uncultured bacterium. Its description in RNAcentral is "partial 16S ribosomal RNA". It matches the Rfam family "Bacterial small subunit ribosomal RNA", at positions 30 to 523 of the family's 1533-position model. The record is from RNAcentral.
AUUGAACGCUGGCGGAAUGCUUUACACAUGCAAGUCGAACGGCAGCACGGACUUCGGUCUGGUGGCGAGUGGCGAACGGGUGAGUAAUACAUCGGAACGUGCCCAAUCGUGGGGGAUAACGUAGCGAAAGCUACGCUAAUACCGCAUACGAUCUACGGAUGAAAGCGGGGGAUCGAAAGACCUCGCGCGAUUGGAGCGGCCGAUCGCAGAUUAGGUAGUUGGUAGGGUAAAGGCCUACCAAGCCGACGACCUGUAGCUGGUCUGAGAGGAUGGUCAGCCACACUGGGACUGAGACACGGCCCAGACUCCUACGGGAGGCAGCAGUGGGAAAUUUUGGACAAUGGACGCAAGUCUGAUCCAGCCAUUCCGCGUGCAGGAUGAAGGCCCUCGGGUUGUAAACUGCUUUUGUACAGAACGAGAAGGCUCUGGUUAAUACCUAGGGCUCAUGACGGUACUGUAAGAAUAAGCACCGGCUAACUACGUGCCAGCCGCCGCCGUAA